CCAAUAGCGUAUAUUAAAGUUGUUGCAGUUAAAAAGCUCGUAGUUGAAUUUCGAGAUCAAUUUGUUGGUCGUGCCUCGGUACGUACUGGCAAUUUUGGUUUCUCCCUUCUGAAGAACCAUGAUGUCAUUAAUUUGGUGUCAUGGGGAAUCAGGACCGUUACUUUGAAAAAAUUAGAGUGUUUAAAGCAGGCUCGCGCUUGAAUACAUUAGCAUGGAAUAA
This 220-nucleotide ribosomal RNA is filed under the name uncultured Glomus. RNAcentral describes it as "partial small subunit ribosomal RNA". It matches the Rfam family "Eukaryotic small subunit ribosomal RNA", at positions 591 to 817 of the family's 1831-position model. Lineage: Eukaryota; Fungi; Glomeromycota; Glomeromycetes; Glomerales; Glomeraceae. The record is from RNAcentral.